Molecule: ribosomal RNA, 427 nt
Filed under: uncultured bacterium
Lineage: Bacteria
Description: bacterial SSU rRNA
Rfam family: Bacterial small subunit ribosomal RNA
Source: RNAcentral
AGAGUUUGAUCCUGGCUCAGAACGAACGCUGGCGGCGUGGAUAAGACAUGCAAGUCGAACGCGACUUAUCUGGUUAGCGAUAACUAGGUAAGUUGAGUGGCGAAAGGGUGCGUAACACGUGGGAAUCUACCAAGAAGUGGGGAAUAGCUCGGCGAAAGCCGAAUUAAUACCGCAUGUGAUCGAAAGAUCAAAGUCGGGGACCGCAAGGCCUGACGCUUUUUGAGGAGCCCGCGGCCCAUCAGCUAGUUGGCGGGGUAAAAGCCCACCAAGGCUAUGACGGGUAGCUGGUCUGAGAGGACGACCAGCCACACUGGAACUGAGACACGGUCCAGACACCUACGGGUGGCAGCAGUCGAGAAUUUUUCACAAUGGACGAAAGUCUGAUGGAGCGACGCCGCGUGGAGGAUGAAGGUUCUUGGAUUGUAAA